Molecule: small nucleolar RNA, 73 nt
Organism: Chanos chanos (milkfish)
Lineage: Eukaryota; Metazoa; Chordata; Actinopteri; Gonorynchiformes; Chanidae
Source: RefSeq, a predicted model, not a curated record
UGGUGAUGAUGUGUGAAUUUCUUCAGCUGAACAAACUGUGUGGUUCUAAAUGAGCUUUUUAACCCUGAACCAG